Molecule: ribosomal RNA, 755 nt
Filed under: bacterium enrichment culture clone B1-55
Lineage: Bacteria
Description: bacterial SSU rRNA
Rfam family: Bacterial small subunit ribosomal RNA
Source: RNAcentral
GAUGAACGCUAGCGAUAGGCCUAACACAUGCAAGUCGAGGGGCAGCACAUGAGUAGCAAUACGAUGGUGGCGACCGGCGCACGGGUGAGUAACACGUAUGCAACCUACCUUUAACAGGGGAAUAACCCGUUGAAAAACGGACUAAUACUCCAUAACACAGGGGUCCCGCAUGGGAAUAUUUGUUAAAGAUUUAUCGGUUGAAGAUGGGCAUGCGUUCCAUUAGCUUGUUGGUGAGGUAACGGCUCACCAAGGCUACGAUGGAUAGGGGAACUGAGAGGUUUAUCCCCCACACUGGAACUGAGACACGGUCCAGACUCCUACGGGAGGCAGCAGUGAGGAAUAUUGGUCAAUGGAGGCAACUCUGAACCAGCCAAGUCGCGUGAAGGAUGAAGGUCUUAUGGAUUGUAAACUUCUUUUGCAAGGGAAUAAAGUGGGGGACGUGUCCUCCUUUGCAUGUACCUUGCGAAUAAGGAUCGGCUAACUCCGUGCCAGCAGCCGCGGUAAUACGGAGGAUCCGAGCGUUAUCCGGAUUUAUUGGGUUUAAAGGGUGCGCAGGCGGGAUGUUAAGUCGGCGGUGAAAUUUUGCAGCUCAACUGUAAAAGAGCCUUCGAAACUGGCAAGCUUGAGUGUGGAUGAAGUAGGCGGAAUUUGUGGUGUAGCGGUGAAAUGCAUAGAUAUCACAAGGAACACCGAUUGCGCAGGCAGCUUACUAAACCAUAACUGACGCUCAGGCACGAAGGCGUGGGGAUCAAACA